RNAcentral lists this long non-coding RNA (2615 nucleotides) under Hordeum vulgare. RNAcentral describes it as "long non-coding RNA (HVUL_LNC013337)". Lineage: Eukaryota; Viridiplantae; Streptophyta; Magnoliopsida; Poales; Poaceae. The record is from RNAcentral.
ACUAAUUGAUUCUCUACUCCCCAUCAAUCCGCUAUACUAAUUGAUUCUCUACUCCCCAUCAAUCCGCUAUACUAAUUGAUUCUCUACUCCCCAUCAAUCCGCUAUACUAAUUGAUUCUCUACUCCCCAUCAAUCCGCUAUACUAAUUGAUUCUCUACUCCCCAGGUAUUUUCCGCUUCCACGAUUGACAUCUGCAGCAUGAGAGAGAGAGAGAGAGAGAGGUGUUCGAUGGAGAGAGCGUCGAGGCAGUGGCAGCAGGCAGGACACGAGAGGGCGGCUGCAAGGGGUGAGGAGGGAACGAAGAAAGUGAGUGAUCCAAGUGUGCCCGACCACGCCGACGCAGACCGACGCUCGGUCGGCGACUCCCACUCCUCUUUCCACUCUCUUCUCCCCUCCUUACAUUCCUUCUCUCUCCCUCUCAUCUUCUUUGUCUCCUGCAUGGACCGAUCCAUGGCGCUGCAUCGAAUCGAGCAUCGUCGUCGUCGCCCAUUGCCUGCUGGUCACCGCCGCCGCCGAAAAAGCUCGCCUCCGCGCCCCAUGCCUCGGAUGCUCCUCAUGCAUCUGCCCCCUUGCUCUCCUCGCUGUGCUCACGCCCCGCAAACCACGUGCUUGUGCCGACGGGGAGAGUAGAGGAGUAGACGACCACGACCUCCUCCUCCUCACGCAUGUGCCCCUCCCUCCGAUCCAUGGCGCUGCAUCGAAUCGAGCGUCCCCGUCAUCGCCCAUGGCUUGCAGGUCACCGCCGCCGCCGAAGAAGCUCGCCUACGCGUCCGCAUGCCUCGGAUCCGGCAGGCGCGCUGCCCCCUGGUCCUCCUCCUCAUGUAUCUGCUCUCUUCAUCUCCUCGCUCUCCUCACGCCCCGCGAUAGUGUCCUGAUCACUCGAACCCAUCUGGGUGGAGAACACCUAAUUUAGGUGGUCAGAUCCUUAUAUAACAGUAAGUUCACCAUGUCAGCCUAGUAAAAUCCAAUCUAAACACCAUGAAAUUUACAGAAUAAAAUACAAACAAGCAUGCUCAGUUAAAUCCUGCCUAUAGAUUAUAGAACUGUGAAAUGCCUAAACGAUGAUAUGCUAACACCUUCUACAAGCAUUCUGUCACUUAGCUGGUGUCAAAAUAACAACACAAUCAGCCAUGUUUAUCAAUAUAGAAGUUAUGUGGUUGUGUCGAUAUAAAAGACGCUGCACAAUAGUACCUUGGGUGGCAUCAGGAAGAUAGCCUUUCUGGAGGUGGCUCAGGCUUGUCCUGCAAACAACCCAUUAUAUAUAUCGGCAACAAACCAUGCGCGUGUGCGCGCACGCACACACACAUACAAGGAAAGAGAACCAUUGUUCUUCAGUUAUUUCCAUGUAAACAGAUUUUGAACGACAAUGUGAGAACAUGAGGACAUAAAGAUCACAAACAACAGUACAGGAAACAUAAACAUUCAUGUAGCGACCCUGUUAAAUAUUGUUCCCACUCAGCAGCUAUCCCAUAGAUAGAAAGGCGAACAACAAGGAACACAUGUAUGAGAUAAAUGGUGACCUACAGUCUUAUGUAGGCGCAUCAAUAAACUACACAACAUUCUUGGAGAAAAUAGAGAAUGCAAGAAAAUACAUACAAAUGCAUUGAGUCAAUAAUCAAAUAACAUACUUCUUAUUGUCUAUUUUGCUUGUAAUAACAAAGCCAAAACCAUUUGCUAUUUCAAACGUAAACUCACGCAUCUCUUUUACAAAUCAGACAAGAGCACCUACCAUCAAGAGCAGCCUGAAACAACGUCAUGAAGCAAGAAACAACAGUGGCACUAAAAACAUACUUUACUUUUGUAAGUGCGAACUUCUACUUCCAUCCAGCGACCAAAUUAUAGGACUGCCUUCUGCAAGGAUUUGAAGAAAAGAGUUACCCCAAAUGCAGACUUCUACAUAUGAGAAACUGCAACAACCUGCUUGUCCUCUUGUACAAAUUCCUCAUAUGAACAAUCAUAUUUCCAUGUGUAAAAUAUAAAUACAAAAUACUGGUUAUUCUACCCAUACAAGACAAGCUGAAGAAUAAUAAUCUAACCUUUCAUGGAUCACCAUAAUAAAAGCUAUUGUAGAAAAUAAUUUGGGCAAUCAAUUUCUGUGAGACCAAAAAAUGCAAGAAAAGCCGAUUAGUUGGGUCAGAAUAUUGCACCACUCGAUCAUCUCGGCAUUAUAGUUGCAGCCACCCAUAAAAACCAUGAAUGCUUCACACUAAAUAGGCAUAUACAUCGGAAUUUAGAGGGGAAUCACCGGAUGUAGUGUGCUAUGAGGCUGUUGAACUUGGUUGUCAUGUUGUCACUGCGCUGGAAACCUCGCUGAAAAGAUUCAAGAAGAAGCACCUAGUUGAGAGAGGGAGGCAAGGUAGAUGAAGAGAUAGAUCGGGAUGGAGUACAGGAGGGGAAAGAGAAACGGGGGAGGAUGAGCAUACCUGCAGCGUUCAUGGACUCUGCGAAUAUAAACGGUGGCCGUUGUUGUUGUCCUCGCGAGAACCUGAUGGAUACCCAAACCCUAGGUGCAAAAUAAAAAUUAAUUUAGGGAGGAAGAAAUCAAAAGGAGGCUCUUACACAGGAGGAAGUCCAAGGAUGCACUGAUCCAACUCCCUUGCUGCGUCCACCAUUUUC